GAUGAACGCUGGCGGCGUGCCUAAUACAUGCAAGUCGAGCGAACAGAUGAGGAGCUUGCUCCUCUGACGUUAGCGGCGGACGGGUGAGUAACACGUGGAUAACCUACCUAUAAGACUGGGAUAACUACGGGAAACCGGAGCUAAAACCGGAUAAUAUAUUGAACCGCAAGGUUCAAUAGUGAAAGACGGUUUUGCUGUCACUUAUAGAUGGAUCCGCGCCGCAUUAGCUAGUUGGUAAGGUAACGGCUUACCAAGGCAACGAUGCGUAGCCGACCUGAGAGGGUGAUCCGCCACCCUGGAACUGAGACACGGCCCACACUCCUACGGGAGGCAGCAGUAGGGAAUCUUCCGCAAUGGGCGAAAGCCUGACGGAGCAACGCCGCGUGAGUGAUGAAGGUCUUCGGCUCGUAAAACUCUGUUAUUAGGGAAGAACAAAUGUGUAAGUAACUAUGCACGUCUUGACGGUACCUAAUCAGAAAGCCACGGCUAACUACGUG
This 497-nucleotide ribosomal RNA is filed under the name uncultured bacterium. Its description in RNAcentral is "partial 16S ribosomal RNA". It matches the Rfam family "Bacterial small subunit ribosomal RNA", at positions 28 to 507 of the family's 1533-position model. The record is from RNAcentral.